Molecule: long non-coding RNA, 4620 nt
Filed under: Homo sapiens (human)
Lineage: Eukaryota; Metazoa; Chordata; Mammalia; Primates; Hominidae
Description: non-protein coding lnc-FOXC1-6:1
Source: RNAcentral
UUUAAAUAUGUGUAGUUUAUUGUGUGUCGAUUAUACCUCAAUGAAAUGGUUUUGAAAUAAUGGUAUGGACAAAAAGGAGCACUUGCUUUUCCCCCUGAAAGAGACCCUUCCCCAGUUGCCAUCAUUUCAGCAAACCAUCUCUGUGUGUGUAUGUGGUGAGAUAUAAACAAUAUCAAAUGUACUGUCUUAGCCAUUCUUAAGAGUACAGUUCAGUGGCAUUAAGCACAUUCACUUGGUUGUCCAACUGUCACCAUCAUCCAUCUCCAGGACUUUUUCAUCUCCCCAGACUGAACUAUAAACAUGGCAGGUAAGCAGCUGUUCGAGCCCCUGCUUUCAGUUCUUUUGAGUAUCCUGAGAAGUGGAAUUGCUGGAUCUUAUGGUAGUUCUAGGCUUAAUUUUUUGAGAAACCACCAUACAGUUUCCCAGCCACAGCUACCCCAUGUUACAUUCCUACUAACACUGCACAAGAGUCCCAGUUACUCCACACCUUCAACAACACUUGUGUUACUAGCUACCUCCAAACCACCUCUCAGCACUUCCCUGCUGGCUCCCUGAGCAACCCCUAGGGCUCCUUUCUCUUCAGAGGCACCAAGCUCCUGCCCAGCUCUCCCUCCCAGCCCUGACCAUCGCAGCACAAAGAGGUCUUCCCUGACUGCCUGAGCUAUCCGCCUUAGGAAAAGGCCUGGCAUUAUUCUCGGUGCCUCAUCUUAUUUAUCACGACCUUACAAUCUUGGUUGCUCUUAUCACUUUGCUCUUUCACACCAUCUCCCUUUUCACACUCUCCUGUCACUAUCACCACUACUUCUGCUCCUACCAUUUCUACUAUUUAUUGAGAAUCUCUAUGUGCCAGGCACUGUGCUGGGCAACUUCACAUACAUUAAUACCCUCAAAAUCUCAAGAAACCCCUCCACAUAAAGCCAAGCAAAGACCAGAAAGCAGCAGGAACUCUCGGGCUGCCCCGAAGUGAUGUCCUGGUGGUCCGUGGAGCACACAGGAAAGUCCAGCAGACAAACAUCAUCAAGGUCGGGCAUUCUGUCAGCUGCAUAAACCCAUUUUCUCUAAAAUACUUAAUGUUAACUUAGGAAAAAAGAAAAAAAAAAAAAACCAGAAAAGCUGCUUCAAGCCAGCCAACGUUCCAAGUCUCGCAGAAGCGUGUGAAAAUCCCCACGCUCAGUCGCCCUCUCCCUGCACACGCCCCGAGUCCGCGUCUCCCUCCUGUGUGAAUGCAGGGAAAGCGGGAGCGCGGCGAGGGGUCUGGUGCGGACCAGCCCCCGAGCCACAGAGUGCGGGGCCCGAGCUCCGGAAGCCCAGCCUGGGCCGCGACGGCCCCAAUUCCAGCAACGCUAGAGGGCGCCCGUGCCAAGCGCCCGCUCCCGGCAAGCCGCGUGCUCCCGGGUGGCCGCAACCGCGGGCCGAGGGGGCGGAGUCAUGGAAACACGUGCCACGGCCUGGAUGAACCUGCAGGGCCGAACGCUCAGUGAAACCAGCCAAUCACCAGAGCACAACUGCCGCGGCACUCCGCUGACCACCCACCUACCUGCCGUUCUGUUCCGCGUUGCCACAGAAAAAUACCAUAGACUGUAGCUUAUAAAUGACGGAAAUUCAGUUCUCAUUGUUCCGGAUGCUGAGAAGUAUGAGAUCAAGGCACCGGCAGAUGCGGUGCCUGGCGCAGGUCCUCUUCCUGGUUCUUGCCGUCUUUUCAGGGCACCCUCACAUGGUGGGAGGGGCCGAGGAUCCCUCCGGGUCUCUUUUAUAAGUCCAUCAAUCCCAUUCAGGAGGACUCUGCCCCACCACCUGUUUGUAUUGUCUCCCAAAGGCCCCACCUCCUAAGACUAUCACUUUGGGGGUCAGGAUGUCAACAUGUGACUUUGUGGAAAAGGGGGUGCGGCAUGAACAUUCAGUCCGUUGCACUGCAGUAGUCAGACUCGUGGAGACAGGAGGUAGAAUGGUGGUGACGGGCUGCAGGAAGGGGGAAUGGGGAGCUAGUGUUUCCUGGGGACAGAGUUUCAGUUUUGCAAGAUGAAAUGUUCUGAAUAUGGAUGGUGGUGACGGCUGUGCACCAUUGUGAGUAUACUUAAUGCCACACUGAACUGCACACUUAAAAAUGUUUAAGGGCUGGGUGCGGUGGCUCACGCCUGUAAUCCCAACACUCUGGGAGGCUGGGGCUGGGGGUGGAUCACUUGAGGUCAGGAGUUUGGGACCAGCCUGGUCAACAUGGUGAAACCCCGUCUCUACUAAAAAUACAAAAAUUAGCUGGGUGUGGUGGCACAAGCCUGUAAUCCUGGCUACUGCGGAAGCUGAGGCACGAGAAUCACUUGAACCCAAGAGGCGGAGGUUGCAAUGAGGUGAGAUUGCACCACAGCACUCCAGCCUGGGCAACAUAAUGAGACUCCAUCUCAAAAAAAAAAAAAAAAAAGUUAAGAUGGUAGAUUUUAUGUUAUGUGUAUUUUAACACAAUAAAAAAUCAAAGGUAGCUAAUUCCCAUUCUGCCCCAAUUUCAGAGAAACACGUGGGCGAAGACAGGGAGGGGUGACUGUCGGUGCUGCCCGGGCCCUGCUGCCUUCCAGAUCUCUGGCACCAGGGCUCUUUCUAGCUCCCUCCCCAGAAGAGGACAUCAGCGACUUGCACAGGCCCCUUCCUGGGCCUGCCUGAACUGCUGGGGGCAAUGGUUGUGGAGAGAACCCAGUGUGUGGGCAGAGAGCAGGCAGCGUGCCCCCUUCCCAUUCUGCUCCAGCAUAUCACUCUUGUUGCAACACAGGAUGAGUGUUCCCACAUUUUGUUUAAUAUUCACACGCUAUAGAGUGCUUCCUCCAGCUCCUCAGUCUUCAGGACAGCCUGGACUCCGGGACUGGUGGUGAGAAGCAGCAGAAAUAACAAGCAUCCCUGGCCCAGCUCGCUGGCCCCUGGUUGCUUUAGGGAGUCCUGUGCCUUCUCUGAGCAGGAAGUCCCUCAUUGAAAAUGAGAGGGUUGGACAAGACGAUCCCUGAGAAGCCUUGGAGUGCCAGCUUUCUGAGAACUGGCCUGGCACAAAUGCCCCAUUUAGUACACACGAAGCCAAAACAGAGAGGAACAGGGCCCCAGCAGGAGGAGUCAGCGAGCCGGCCCAGAGCACGCUUCUUAGAAAAGGACACGCUCAGGGACAAGGGCACCAUGACCUUCCCAAAGGCACAAAGGGCACAGGGCUCUGCAUCUCCUGUUUGUUCCCGGUAGAACAUCUCGCUGUCCCGGGAGAAUAUAUGAGGAGUGCAUAAAUAUACAGCCCCGCACUGCUUCCUGGGCUCUUGUGUGAUUCCAGGGCCUGUUCUCCAGCAGCUGUGAGCACCCACCCAGACCCCACUGGCCUGGGGACGGCCAUUGAGCCAGUCCCACCUGUGAGCCCUUCAGCGAUUCUCUGGCCCCCAGCCCCACCUGUCUGUCCACUUUUCCUGGCAGGCUGGUUAGGGGAUAAAGCAGAUGCACGGGACACUUUACUUGCCCCUUUCCCGUCCACCCCAGUUCAACCCUCCAGGUUACCCUCCGGCAGCAGAGCCACCCCUGCCCAGGACGCGCACUGCCUUCCAUUAGGCAACAGUUUCAUGAGGCAUUUGCCGUCCUCAAGAGGCUGACGUGACAGUGCCUGAUUCACAGAGGCUUCCCUCUGACCCAGGUCUAGCUGGCUCCCCAGUGGGACACCCCAGGGCCUUUCCUGGCCCAGAUCUGCCGCUCUGGGCUGUCCUGAGUGAGGAACACCUGAAUAAGCCACAACAUCAAGGAAAGGACCAUGAGGAUGGGAGCACCCGGGAGCAAGCCCCUCCCUGAGCCUUGGAAACCCCGUGACUCCUAUUUUCCAUGUCAUUUUCUCCAUCAUGGAAUGAACACUUAGAAACUGGAAGCUCGUGAGCAGAAUGAUUCUGUCCUAGAGCCUGAAGGCGUGCAUCAGGGCUGGGUCCUUCCCUGCAGCAUAGCUUCUAAACCAACGAUUGAUAUCUUCAUUUACCAGCACGAUAAAAAAGGAAUUCGUUUUCUUAGAAGCUGUGCCUGUCACUCUGCUCAGAAACAGUCCAAGCAGCCGUUCCAAGUGUGGCCUUCAGCCCAUGCCAAACUUAGAUCAACUGCAGGCUUGGAGCUUUCUGAGGCGAGAAUGGAAGUAUGUGUGCUGCAGUGGUGUGUGUGGGUGUGCACUCGUGUUUGUAGGUAGCAUUUACACACACCCACCGUGGGCAUGUACAUGUGUCUCCCUGUGCCAGUAUGCUGAGAGCUUCAGGACAUGGCAGGCACUCCACAUGCAGGGGAUGGAAAAGCCAUCACAUUUAUUGUCUGUCCUUGUGCGGUAUUUAAAAUACAACUGAGAAUGUGUGCAGAUUUUUAAAUGUUACUGGACCACUUGGGUUUUUUUUGAGACCGGGCUGACUCUGAGCCAGACUGCAUCUGUCUGCGUUGAAAGGGACCAUUCUUUCCCUCCUGCUCCCGCCCUGCCCCCUCCACACACACCCUCCUUCAUGUGAAACCCGAGCAUUUCCUUUCCCGUAAGCCUUCUUCUAGAAGCCUGUGCUCAGCACAGGGGCCAAGCCCUGCGGCUCAGGCAGGCCCACGUGACUCUUGAACUGCAGACUCAAGUCCCAAGGUGGGAAACCGUUUGUC